GACCUCGGAUCAGGUAGGAAUACCCGCUGAACUUAAGCAUACAAUAAGCGGAGGAAAAGAAACCAACAGGGAUUGCCCUAGUAACCGGCCGAGUGAAGCGGCA
This 103-nucleotide ribosomal RNA is filed under the name Phomopsis sp. CLF-D. RNAcentral describes it as "partial 28S rRNA". It matches the Rfam family "Eukaryotic large subunit ribosomal RNA", at positions 1 to 103 of the family's 3401-position model. Lineage: Eukaryota; Fungi; Ascomycota; Sordariomycetes; Diaporthales; Diaporthaceae. The record is from RNAcentral.